This is a long non-coding RNA of Xenopus tropicalis (tropical clawed frog), 3763 nucleotides long. RefSeq lists it as uncharacterized. The transcript is spliced from 2 exons. NCBI's taxonomy places the organism in Eukaryota, Metazoa, Chordata, Amphibia, Anura, Pipidae. The record is from RefSeq and is a predicted model, not a curated record.
UAGGGCAAGCAGAAUAUGGCACACACAGGCAGCAUAGGGCAGGCAGAGUAUGGCACACAGGCAGCAUAUGGCAUAUCUGAUACACUGAAUUCUGUACCAUCCUACUACCCAAAUAAAAUUAAGUUAUUAAAAAUAAUGCCUUGUUAAAAUAGGAUAAAAUAUAUUCUCUUCUUGAAUUUUCCUACACUACACAUGUAUUAUAAAAAAUAAAUGUGCCCCCUGUUGAAAUGAGGAUAUUAGACAUCACUUACAAAGCCUACAGCUUUGUCUCAGAACCAAAAUGCGUGCUUUCGCUUUUUUCAGCCAAUCACUGAUCUGUGUAACUGAGCUCAGGCCGACGCUGUGCCAAUCAAGGUACACACGGAAGCAGAUCCACUUCUCUCCACCAGAGUACAAAACACAGGCAGAGAGAAAAGGAGCGUAUGCCCUGUGUGCCCUCAGCCCAAGUAUUGGAAAACUUAUUAACAGUAUUAACAGUAUUAAUAUCGAACAAUAUUAAUUUGACAAACAAUAUUCUAGUAUAGAACAAACAAUUCCUGUUUGAAUGAGUUGCUCCAGCACACCUAGAGGGUGAUCAUACUGUAGAACACAGAAAACUAGUGUAGAACACUAGAAUGAUUUGGCUGUAACCCCCAGUUACACCAUUGCCAGCGUUGUCGCCCCACACUAACACGGUAUCCUGAGCUGCACUGACAAUAGUGCAAAGUGAUGAUGAGUUAAGUACUCCUAGGUACGAAACGCGUAAGGCUAAUUGUUUGUUUUUUAUGGAUUAAAUAAAAAAUGACUUUUUUAUGAACACUACUAGCUGCCUCCUAUGACUUUUUGACAUAUUUUUGGAUACCAGAAGUGCCUGCCUCCUGUUGUUUCCUUUGUAUACUCCUGUGUGGCUCCCUAAGCUGAAGGUCUGGGGCAUGAGCACCUGGACCCACCUAUCCUGGGGGUAAGACUCUACAUAUGCACUACAAAUUGCUAUUCCUGUGAAAAAAUUGAUAUAUUUGGCAAUAGAGCAAAGUACAAAGUCCCAGAGCAGGGGCCUGACCCAACAGCAAUUAUAUACAGUAUAAUAGCAUAUAUCCAGACCCUUGGCAGCCACACAACAGCAGGGUAAUAGCUUAGGCAAAUGUUAUAUACUGAGACACCCAAGAAAUAUGUAAAUUGAAACAACAAAUAGAGAGUCUGUGCCUGUCUUCCCCCCCCCCCAUGUUGAUCAACAAGUGAGAGGAACCUGGUAGCGCAAAUUCACCUGUGACAUGCGGCUCAUGUUUCAGGCCAACAAAGAAAUGUAAUAUAUAGGUUGAAAACAACAGCAGCCCACACUGAUGUGUGAGUCUGUAUCAUAUUUCUUUUUAACCCUUUCUUUGUCGUACUUAGGGCAGAUUAUGGUUACACCUGUGUUUCCUUACACUCUACAAUAAGCCUUUGCUUCUACCCUCUCUUUAAUACACGAGGGGUUAAAUGGCAUGAUUGGCAGAGCUAGUACUCCUACUACAGAACCCCAGGUAAACACUACACUGUCAGAAAAGUUUCAGCGAGCCUGUAUCUUUGGGGGCCCAUGGAGAGAAACCGGCUAAAGCACAGUAUUUAGGUCUAGUUUUUUUCCAGGCCCCAGUGUUCAGUCACCCCCUUCUAUCUCUAGCUCUGUUGCUGGAUUUAGCUUUAAUUGUCCGGCGGCAAACUGCCUCCCUAAAGCUGCUGGCCUAGGCAAAGCCAUCGGCUGCCUAUAUAGCAAAAACAGCCUUAAGGAAUCCAUGGGAUGCUGAGUCAAGAUGGCGGUGGCGCAUUCCCAAGGAAUAACAGGGUUAUGUAAUAAAAGGCACUUUGCCCAGGAGCAGUAACCCAUAGCAACAAAUCAGUAGGUAGAAUUUACUGCUGGGUUACUUUUACAAAUGUAGUUCAGUUUACUCCAUAUGUGGUUAAGUAUCAUUGCUGGACGUGAAACUUCUUUAAAGUGGACUUUUCAAUCCAUUUAAUAAUUAUUCCAAUUCCUCUUCCAUCAUGUUAAGUUAAGCACUUUAUUGCUAAAGUCAGCAAUAUAACAAGCCGGCGCCAGGCCCCCUGCGAAAAGGACCCAAACACACAACCACUUUUACUCAGCACAGCAACCCAUAUACCACCUGCACGCCCAUAGCCCAACCCCCCCCCCCCUUCCCUGUGUGCAAGUAAGGGUGCAGCUAGUGAGAGAGCAUCAAAAAAAUCACACACAUAAAAAAAGUAAUGUGGUAGCCAUAUUUUUGCUAUUUUGUGAGACAAAUUCGCUCAUCACUAGUGCAACAUGCAACAUUAAUACAAUCCAACCCAUUGGCCAUACCCUCAGAAAAAAAUACAUGGAAAGUAAGCAUGUGGUUUUUAUUAAAAUGUCAACAAUAUAUGUUCUGUUAUAUAAAAUGUUCCAUUUUAGUUGUACAUGCACACAUGUUAUGAAAACAGUAAUGGCAAACUAAUAUAUUGCAAGGUAUAAAGUUACGUAAGGACAUAAUUAACAGGUUUUUAUAGUACUUUUUGCAACAGUAAUUACUUUGUUAUAAUAUGUAUCAAUGUAUUUUUAUUGUUAGCCAAUAUAGGUAUAAUUUCUACAAUACUCUUGUAUUUGUGUUUUUUCUUAUUAUUUUUGACACUGGCUAACACGGUACUACAGUUUUUUGUUAUAGCAGCAAAUAAGAAUGAAUCUGUUGUCGAUGUCAUCCUCAAACAAAUUGACAGUAUUGAGAAGACAAUUUUGAAAAUAAUUAUACUUAUUGGGGUAUUCCUUGCUGCAACCAUAGCGGUUGGAGUCUUGAUAAUGUAAGUAAUAUUGCUUUUUUUUCUUGGUGGGGAAGAAAGGUGGAAACCUAACAUGCUUUAGAAUAUAGAUUGGAGGCCAACAAAAGUGUAUGGACGCUAAAUAUUUGAGCAAGAGCCAAUGCAAUCAUGUUUGAGCCUUUAAUAUAUCCUUAUAUAUGGCGGUUAGUGAUGUCGUCCCACUUCUUUCCUUGGAAUCAGUGUCUGGCCGUGUGCCUUUAUGGUCACGGAACUCCUAGGAGACUUCUAACAUGCUAACAUUUUACACAUAGAGGUUAUAGUUUUUCAUACAUGCAUAUGUGUUUUUUUUUCACAAAAAUGUAUAUAAUUAAACUGCUAUAAAAAUCUUGCAGCCAUUUUCUAAUUUGUUUCCUCUUUUUCUGCAGUAUUAUGUUUAGGAAAAAAAGCAACAACGGUGAUGAAGAAAAUCCAUCAAAAGGGAAAGAUGAAGAUGAUGAGAGCUCAUCUGGUGAAUCAGAAUAGAGUUCAGAAUCUUCUUCAUCGUAAAAGAAUACAAGUGACUACGCACCAUGAGAUGAUGAGGGAGGUGAGGAAGGGCAUGUAAAAUUAGAAUUCAGAAGCUUCACUGGAGACAAAACAGUAACUUAAACAAAUAACUUCUAAUCUGAAAGAAGAAGUUUUCAGUCCUGUGAUUGCUCUGAUUUGUCAUGUGACAAGGAGAAGAAGAGACAGAAUAGCUAAUCAAAUUAGAUAAUAAGAUCCUACAAAAUUAAGAGUAAAUGUUAUCUGGUGAGAAGAUAUGAGGAAUCAUGCAAUGAGGAGGAAGUUUGAUUUGAUCAUGUGAAAGAGUAAUCAUAUACCCAUAUGAAGGGGUAUCAUUAGAUGAUGAGGGAAGGAAGGAGGGUGAAGUAUAUAUUGAGAACAAAAAGAAUUUAGAAGCAUUAAAGAUGCAUUAAAGAGCUAAGUUUUUCUUCUAAUUUGUAUCAAUUCUCAUAAAAUAUUUUCAAUAAAUGUUUAAUAGUAA